GCGGUCGCCUCCUAAAAGGUAACGGAGGCGCCCAAAGGUCUCCUCAGGCUGGUCGGAAAUCAGCCAUUGAGUGUAAAGGCAUAAGGAGGCUUAACUGUGAGGCACACGGGCCGAGCAGAUACGAAAGUAGGGCUUAGUGAUCCGGUGGCGCUGUAUGGAAGGGCCAUCGCUCAACGGAUAAAAGGUACGCCGGGGAUAACAGGCUUAUCGCGUCCAAGAGUUCACAUCGACGACGCGGUUUGGCACCUCGAUGUCGACUCAUCGCAUCCUGGGGCUGAAGUAGGUCCCAAGGGUUCGGCUGUUCGCCGAUUAAAGCGGUACGAGAGUUGGGUUCAGAACGUCGUGAGACAGUUCGGUCCCUAUCUGUUGUGGGCGGAGGAGAGUUGAGAGGGGCUUUCACUAGUACGAGAGGACUGUGAAGGACGGACCUCUGGUUUGCCGGUUGUCGCGCCAGCGGCAGUGCCGGGUAGCUAUGUCCGGUAGCGAUAAUCGCUGAAAGCAUCUAAGCGAGAAGCGUGCCUCAAGAUAAGCUCUCCCGGGGUGUAUGCCCCCUAAAGACCACUUGUAGACUACGAGUUUGAUAGGCUGGGUGUGGAAGGCCAGUGAUGGCUGUAGCUUACCAGUACUAAUCGGUCGUGCGGUUUAACAUC
RNAcentral lists this ribosomal RNA (650 nucleotides) under Nitrospirota bacterium. RNAcentral's name for it is "partial 23S ribosomal RNA". It matches the Rfam family "Bacterial large subunit ribosomal RNA", at positions 2279 to 2925 of the family's 2925-position model. Lineage: Bacteria; Pseudomonadati; Nitrospirota. The record is from RNAcentral.